Molecule: ribosomal RNA, 460 nt
Filed under: uncultured bacterium
Lineage: Bacteria
Description: partial 16S ribosomal RNA
Rfam family: Bacterial small subunit ribosomal RNA
Source: RNAcentral
CCUACGGGUGGCAGCAGUGAGGAAUAUUGGUCAAUGGCCGGAAGGCUGAACCAGCCAUGCCGCGUGAAGGUCAGUGCCCUAUGGGCGUUACACUUCUUUUGUGCGGGAGCAAUAAUGGUCACGUGUGGCCAGACGAGAGUACCGUACGAAUAAGCAUCGGCUAAAUCCGUGCCAGCAGCCGCGGUAAUACGGGGGAGGCAAGCGUUAUCCCGAUUUAGUGGGUUUAAAGGGUGCGUAGGCUGGGAGGUAAGUCAGCGGUGAAAUGCCCCCGCUCAACGGGGUGAAGUGCCAUUGAUACUGGCUUGCUGGAAUGCGGAUGCGGUGGGAGGAAUGUGUGGUGUAGCGGUGAAAUGCAUAGAUAUCACACAGAACACCGAUUGCGAAGGCAUCUCACGAAUCCGCGAUUGACGCUGAUGCACGAAAGCGUGGGUAUCAAACAGGAUUAGAUACCCGUGUAGUC